This 1267-nucleotide long non-coding RNA is filed under the name Sorghum bicolor (sorghum). RNAcentral's name for it is "long non-coding RNA (SBIC_LNC017325)". Lineage: Eukaryota; Viridiplantae; Streptophyta; Magnoliopsida; Poales; Poaceae. The record is from RNAcentral.
UGGGCCAGUGAGAGUAAGGUUAAUAAAGCGGUCCCAUGAUUCGCCAAGAGAUUCUUCUUCCAGUUGUCUAAAAGAAAUAAUCUCACGCCGAAGUUCCACCACUUUGGAGAUUGGAAAAUAUUUAAAAAGAAAACUAUUAUAUAACUCCUUCCAAUCUUCGUGAACACUCCCUACUUUGAGUUUGUACCAAUGUCUAGCUUUUCCUGUUAAAGAGAACGGAAAGAGCUUCCAUUUAAGGGUCUCAUCGGACAUGCCUUCAAUGCGAAGGAGGUCACAGACUCGAUAAAACUCUCUUAGGUGUGUGUAUGGGUUUUCCUUGCCUUAUCCUAAGAAAGGUUGUUUUUGAACAAAUUCUAUGUAUUCGGGGUCUAUCUCAAAACUAGAUGCUAUGAUAGGCUUUGAAGAUUUUGGUGGUUCGAGAUGUGUGCCCGUAGUUCUAUGAAACUGAUUGAUAGACAUGUUUGCAUUCAUGUUUGACCAGAAAUCAAGGAUUAGAUAAGAGGAAUGAAUAGCAGAGAUGAGGCAAAGGAUAAAAGGAAAAUAUAUAUUUAUUUUUAUUUUUUUUAGAAAAUGAUUAAGCUAGUUCGUAGUCAACUCAGCAACCGUCUCCCCGACAACGGCGCCAAAAAUGCUUGUUGACACUUGCUAACACCACUUGAAUACUAGGUUGUCAUCCCCAGCAUGGCACUAGAGUGUACUAUGGUAUUUAUGCGCAAACAGAUAAAUCCGCAAGCGCACGGAUACCGUUGUAGCUUUUACCCAGUUCAAGGUUUUAUCGUAUCCACAGGGAAACGGGAGAAGUGAUCUACGCUCUAACUUAACCUAGAUAGAUAGGUAAGUGUAAAUAGGAAAGAUGGUAGAAUUGAAUAAGAACAAUAUUAAAAGUAAGAUAACAAUGGGUGAUAAUAUGGGAAUAGAGAGUAGAGCAAUCUAGUAUAUGGGCGAUGGUAGGAGAAUAGAGAGGACAACUAUGGUUUCUCUACUUCAAAGGGGUAUGUGUAUGUCUGGGACGAACCACGUGAUAAGAAUACACCACAAAGGAUGCUUAUCCAUAGGCCGACAAACCCUACCCGUCCUGCUAACAGGAGGUGGACUACAGGGGACCAAUGUAACUGUCACCUAUGCGGCCUACCACACGAUCCAGCUAGACAGGGGAUAUCCAUAAGUAAUCUAGGUCUAAGCAUCACGCUUACACCUAUACUACAACUCUAACCUAUAGGUUCCUAUAGAUUAAAAGUACUCAAAAGAGUUGUGAACCAGAACAUAC